UACGAAGGGUGCAAGCGUUAAUCGGAAUAACUGGGCGUAAAGCGCGCGUAGGUGGUUUGUCAAGUUGGAUGUGAAAUCCCCGGGCUCAACCUGGGAACUGCAUCCAAAACUGACUGACUAGAGUACGGUAGAGGUUAGUGGAAUUUCCUGUGUAGCGGUGAAAUGCGUAGAUAUAGGAAGGAACACCAGUGGCGAAGGCGACUAACUGGACUGAUACUGACACUGAGGUGCGAAAGCGUGGGGAGCAAAC
RNAcentral lists this ribosomal RNA (250 nucleotides) under uncultured bacterium. RNAcentral describes it as "partial 16S ribosomal RNA". It matches the Rfam family "Bacterial small subunit ribosomal RNA", at positions 524 to 773 of the family's 1533-position model. The record is from RNAcentral.